GAACGGCAGCACGGGAGCAAUCCUGGUGGCGAGUGGCGAACGGGUGAGUAAUAUAUCGGAACGUGCCCAGUCGUGGGGGAUAACGCAGCGAAAGCUGUGCUAAUACCGCAUACGAUCUACGGAUGAAAGCGGGGGAUCGCAAGACCUCGCGCGAUUGGAGCGGCCGAUAUCAGAUUAGCUAGUUGGUGAGGUAAAGGCUCACCAAGGCGACGAUCUGUAGCUGGUCUGAGAGGACGACCAGCCACACUGGAACUGAGACACGGUCCAGACUCCUACGGGAGGCAGCAGUGGGGAAUUUUGGACAAUGGGCGCAAGCCUGAUCCAGCAAUGCCGCGUGCAGGAUGAAGGCCUUCGGGUUGUAAACUGCUUUUGUACGGAACGAAACGGUGAACUCUAAUACAGUUUGCUAAUGACGGUACCGUAAGAAUAAGCACCGGCUAACUACGUGCCAGCAGCCGCGGUAAUACGUAGGGUGCGAGCGUUAAUCGGAAUUACUGGGCGUAAAGCGUGCGCAGGCGGUGAUGUAAGACAGAUGUGAAAUCCCCGGGCUCAACCUGGGACCUGCAUUUGUGACUGCAUCGCUAGAGUACGGCAGAGGGGGAUGGAAUUCCGCGUGUAGCAGUGAAAUGCGUAGAUAUGCGGAGGAACACCGAUGGCGAAGGCAAUCCCCUGGGCCUGUACUGACGCUCAUGCACGAAAGCGUGGGGAGCAAACAGGAUUAGAUACCCUGGUAGUCCACGCCCUAAACGAUGUCAACUGGUUGUUGGGUCUUCACUGACUCAGUAACGAAGCUAACGCGUGAAGUUGACCGCCUGGGGAGUACGGCCGC
RNAcentral lists this ribosomal RNA (829 nucleotides) under uncultured bacterium. RNAcentral describes it as "bacterial SSU rRNA". It matches the Rfam family "Bacterial small subunit ribosomal RNA", at positions 64 to 889 of the family's 1533-position model. The record is from RNAcentral.